This 157-nucleotide small RNA is filed under the name Ancylostoma duodenale. RNAcentral describes it as "Nematode sRNA ceN72-3_ceN74-2". It matches the Rfam family "Nematode sRNA ceN72-3_ceN74-2". Lineage: Eukaryota; Metazoa; Nematoda; Chromadorea; Rhabditida; Ancylostomatidae. The record is from Rfam by way of RNAcentral.
CUGUGUGGUCCGGAGUCAGUGGGUUAUCAUGUACUUGUACUACAUGCUUCUCUUCGGGUUACCAUGUACUUGUACUACAUGCUUCUCUCAUCUGUCCUUACUUCAUCAUCCCAGUCCUCAAGGGUCAUCGAACCCACUGACAACACUUGACCAUACA